GGGGCGGGGGGGUGCCUAUACAUGCAAGUCGAGCGAACUGAUUAGAAGCUUGCUUCUAUGACGUUAGCGGCGGACGGGUGAGUAACACGUGGGCAACCUGCCUGUAAGACUGGGAUAACUUCGGGAAACCGAAGCUAAUACCGGAUAGGAUCUUCUCCUUCAUGGGAGAUGAUUGAAAGAUGGUUUCGGCUAUCACUUACAGAUGGGCCCGCGGUGCAUUAGCUAGUUGGUGAGGUAACGGCUCACCAAGGCAACGAUGCAUAGCCGACCUGAGAGGGUGAUCGGCCACACUGGGACUGAGACACGGCCCAGACUCCUACGGGAGGCAGCAGUAGGGAAUCUUCCGCAAUGGACGAAAGUCUGACGGAGCAACGCCGCGUGAGUGAUGAAGGCUUUCGGGUCGUAAAACUCUGUUGUUAGGGAAGAACAAGUACGAGAGUAACUGCUCGUACCUUGACGGUACCUAACCAGAAAGCCACGGCUAACUACGUGCCAGCAGCCGCGGUAAUACGUAGGUGGCAAGCGUUAUCCGGAAUUAUUGGGCGUAAAGCGCGCGCAGGCGGUUUCUUAAGUCUGAUGUGAAAGCCCACGGCUCAACCGCGGAGGGUCAUUGGAAACUGGGGAACUUGAGUGCAGAAGAGAAGAGCGGACUUCCACGUGUAGCGGCGAAU
Molecule: ribosomal RNA, 671 nt
Filed under: Priestia megaterium
Lineage: Bacteria; Bacillati; Bacillota; Bacilli; Caryophanales; Bacillaceae
Description: bacterial SSU rRNA
Rfam family: Bacterial small subunit ribosomal RNA
Source: RNAcentral